GACGUAGGAGGCGAGCGUUAUCCGGAUUCACUGGGCGUAAAGCGCAUGUAGGCGGAUGUCUAAGUCGUGUGUUAAAGCCCCUGGCUCAACUGGGGGAGGUCAUGCGAGACUGGAUGACUUGAGGGCAACAGAGGCACGUGGAACUCCCGGUGUAGCGGUGGAAUGCGUAGAGAUCGGGAAGAACACCCGUGGCGAAGGCGGCGUGCUGGGUUGCAACUGACGCUGAGAUGCGAAAGUGUGGGGAGCAAACAGGAUUAGAA
RNAcentral lists this ribosomal RNA (260 nucleotides) under uncultured bacterium. RNAcentral's name for it is "partial 16S ribosomal RNA". It matches the Rfam family "Bacterial small subunit ribosomal RNA", at positions 524 to 783 of the family's 1533-position model. The record is from RNAcentral.